This 460-nucleotide ribosomal RNA is filed under the name uncultured bacterium. RNAcentral's name for it is "partial 16S ribosomal RNA". It matches the Rfam family "Bacterial small subunit ribosomal RNA", at positions 338 to 795 of the family's 1533-position model. The record is from RNAcentral.
CCUACGGGAGGCAGCAGUGAGGAAUAUUGGUCAAUGGGCGGAAGCCUGAACCAGCCAAGUAGCGUGAAGGAUGACGGCCCUACGGGUUGUAAACUGCUUUUAUACGGGAAUAACGCGCCUUACGUGUAGGUCUUUGCAUGUACCGUAUGAAUAAGGACCGGCUAAUUCCGUUCCAGCAGCCGCGGUAAUACGGAAGGUCCGGGCGUUAUCCGGAUUUAUUGGGUUUAAAGGGAGCGUAGGCCGGCUGUCAAGCGUGCUGUGAAAUGUCCGGGCUCAACCCGGGCCUUGCAGCGCGAACUGGCGGGCUUGAGUCCGCGGAAAGCAGGCGGAAUUCGUCGUGUAGCGGUGAAAUGCUUAGAUAUGACGAAGAACCCCGAUUGCGAAGGCAGCUUGCUGCAGUGGAACUGACGCUGAUGCUCGAAAGCGCGGGUAUCGAACAGGAUUAGAUACCCCGGUAGUC